Larimichthys crocea (large yellow croaker) is the source of this 119-nucleotide ribosomal RNA. The record is from Ensembl. Lineage: Eukaryota; Metazoa; Chordata; Actinopteri; Sciaenidae.
GCUUAUGGCCAUACCACCCUGAAUGCGCCCGAUGUUGUCUGAUCUCGAAAGCUAAGCAGGGUCAGGCCUGGUUAGUACUUGGAUGGGAGACCGCCUGGGAAUACCAGGUGCUGUAUGCU